CGGACGGGUGAGUAACACGUGGAUAACCUACCUAUAAGACUGGGAUAACUUCGGGAAACCGGAGCUAAUACCGGAUAAUAUAUUGAACCGCAUGGUUCAAUAGUGAAAGACGGUUUUGCUGUCACUUAUAGAUGGAUCCGCGCCGCAUUAGCUAGUUGGUAAGGUAACGGCUUACCAAGGCGACGAUGCGUAGCCGAUCUGAGAGGGUGAUCGGCCACACUGGAACUGAGACACGGUCCAG
RNAcentral lists this ribosomal RNA (241 nucleotides) under uncultured Staphylococcus sp. Its description in RNAcentral is "partial 16S ribosomal RNA". It matches the Rfam family "Bacterial small subunit ribosomal RNA", at positions 99 to 334 of the family's 1533-position model. The record is from RNAcentral. Lineage: Bacteria; Bacillati; Bacillota; Bacilli; Caryophanales; Staphylococcaceae.